This is a long non-coding RNA of Daphnia carinata, 691 nucleotides long. RefSeq lists it as uncharacterized. The transcript is spliced from 3 exons. The record is from RefSeq and is a predicted model, not a curated record. NCBI's taxonomy places the organism in Eukaryota, Metazoa, Arthropoda, Branchiopoda, Diplostraca, Daphniidae.
UGUCAAGUAGAUCAGUUCUGAGGCUUUCCAAUGAAUGUGACCUGGUAACAGUUUUUAAAAUCAGAAUUAGGAAAUAUAUUACCCAGAGACUGUAACUGUUCCAAGAAUAAAAACCUAUGGCUACAAACAACGAAUCAUGGGCACGAGGCCGUAAAACUCCAGCUCGGCGAUCUUGUCCCCUUCGGAUGAUCCUUCCAUGCCGAGCUGAUUGUCAUCUUCUACUUUCUGCACAUUGUCUUGCAACGACGAGUUUUUCUUACCUCGCAUUCCGAGAAAAGCCCUGCUAUUGGGUGUUCGCUUGUCAUAACCGGCCAAACGCUGAAGGAGAACUAGUUUCAUCGAGAUUGGAAGUCCAGAAAAGACUAUAGCUUCUUUUGGCAUCGGUAGGAUCGGAUCUGCAACUUUUGUCGCCGGAUUCUUAUCGGAUGAUUGUUCCGCUUGCUGCUGAGAAUUUCUCCAGGAGCGGAGAACGAGUCCUCGCGUUUGGCGGGCCAUUAUUUCGUCAUCAUCAGUUGGCACCUCAGCUGCAGAAGCUCGGCAAUAAGCGAACACCAUCAUUAGGACACCCAUUGCCAACCACCAUCUUUCAGCUGAUCCUCUUCUAAACCAGACGAGAGAAAUCAGGUGUUGUAAAGCAAACAGGUGUCUGUUUACGAAAACCUGCAGCAGGAAACUUACACAACUAUAGACG